This 74-nucleotide transfer RNA is filed under the name Singulisphaera acidiphila DSM 18658. RNAcentral describes it as "tRNA-Ile (GAT) (tRNA-Ile-GAT-1-1)". It matches the Rfam family "tRNA". From Rfam's summary of the family: Transfer RNA (tRNA) molecules are approximately 80 nucleotides in length. Their secondary structure includes four short double-helical elements and three loops (D, anti-codon, and T loops). Lineage: Bacteria; Pseudomonadati; Planctomycetota; Planctomycetia; Isosphaerales; Isosphaeraceae. The record is from Rfam by way of RNAcentral.
GGACGCAUAGCUCAGUUGGCUAGAGCGCACCCCUGAUAAGGGUGAGGUCCCAGGUUCGAAUCCUGGUGUGUCCA